RNAcentral lists this ribosomal RNA (739 nucleotides) under uncultured Bacillus sp. RNAcentral's name for it is "bacterial SSU rRNA". It matches the Rfam family "Bacterial small subunit ribosomal RNA", at positions 26 to 746 of the family's 1533-position model. The record is from RNAcentral. Lineage: Bacteria; Bacillati; Bacillota; Bacilli; Caryophanales; Bacillaceae.
AGGACGAACGCUGGCGGCGUGCCUAAUACAUGCAAGUCGAGCGGACCGACGGGAGCUUGCUCCCUUAGGUCAGCGGCGGACGGGUGAGUAACACGUGGGUAACCUGCCUGUAAGACUGGGAUAACUCCGGGAAACCGGGGCUAAUACCGGAUGCUUGAUUGAACCGCAUGGUUCAAUCAUAAAAGGUGGCCUUUAGCUACCACUUACAGAUGGACCCGCGGCGCAUUAGCUAGUUGGUGAGGUAACGGCUCACCAAGGCGACGAUGCGUAGCCGACCUGAGAGGGUGAUCGGCCACACUGGGACUGAGACACGGCCCAGACUCCUACGGGAGGCAGCAGUAGGGAAUCUUCCGCAAUGGACGAAAGUCUGACGGAGCAACGCCGCGUGAGUGAUGAAGGUUUUCGGAUCGUAAAACUCUGUUGUUAGGGAAGAACAAGUACCGUUCGAAUAGGGCGGCACCUUGACGGUACCUAACCAGAAAGCCACGGCUAACUACGUGCCAGCAGCCGCGGUAAUACGUAGGUGGCAAGCGUUGUCCGGAAUUAUUGGGCGUAAAGCGCGCGCAGGCGGUUUCUUAAGUCUGAUGUGAAAGCCCCCGGCUCAACCGGGGAGGGUCAUUGGAAACUGGGGAACUUGAGUGCAGAAGAGGAGAGUGGAAUUCCACGUGUAGCGGUGAAAUGCGUAGAGAUGUGGAGGAACACCAGUGGCGAAGGCGACUCUCUGGUCUGUAACUGACGC